UUCUAUUCUCUCAUUAACCUCUCCAUGUGGAACCAUGUUGGCUUGCUUGGUGUGGUCUGAUGAGAGCCAAGGUUUAAACCCCAAAAGUUCAGUUUCAGUUUGAAAGAAGCAGCUAGGACCCUGACACCACAGCUUCCGUGAGAAAUGGACAGUGUCUGCUAGAAGCACAGUAUGUGACACAGAGUAUGUGGCUAAAAUAGUAGCCUCUAUUGAAAGGGCCAUUCUCUGUGUUCUGCCUGUUGCCAAAACCAUCAACACAGACUCAUCAACUCAGGUCGGCCAUUUUCACGAGAAUCUCCCACAGUAUUAUUCAUAGCAGCUCAGGAGCUCAUCUUUGAUUCAAAAAAUAAGCUGGACAUUGUGGUAUGCAACUGGGAGCCGAAGCUGGAGGAUUGUAUGUUUCUGGCCAAUUCAGGCUACAUGGAGAAACUGAGACAC
This 438-nucleotide small RNA is filed under the name Rattus norvegicus (Norway rat). RNAcentral describes it as "uncharacterized LOC102550307". The record is from RNAcentral. Lineage: Eukaryota; Metazoa; Chordata; Mammalia; Rodentia; Muridae.